AUCAGCCUUUUGGGCGUGAUUUUGUGGAGCGUGAGCAUUACCCCCUUCAUGCCUGCAUAUUCGUGCACUUUGGGGGUACUUGCCCGUUUGGUUGGUUAACAUCAAUUUUGGUGGUCAAAAAAUGACUGGAGGAAUGUAGCUUCCAUCUCGAGUUGAAGUGUUAUAGCCUUCGGUAGUUGGGAUGAUCGAGAUUGAGGAUUGCAACGGAUACCCUUCGGGGCUACCUGUCUGAUCUCUGAUCGUUGCUCUGGUGCCGAAAGCUUGCUUACGGUUAUCAAAGUUGAUGGUCAAUAGGUUAGAACGGUUUAAAUUCGUUAAGGAUGUUGACGUAUUGACUUU
Molecule: ribosomal RNA, 339 nt
Filed under: uncultured Glomeromycotina
Lineage: Eukaryota; Fungi; Glomeromycota
Description: eukaryotic LSU rRNA
Source: RNAcentral